This is a long non-coding RNA of Saccostrea cuccullata (small rock oyster), 751 nucleotides long. RefSeq lists it as uncharacterized. The record is from RefSeq and is a predicted model, not a curated record. The transcript is spliced from 4 exons. NCBI's taxonomy places the organism in Eukaryota, Metazoa, Mollusca, Bivalvia, Ostreida, Ostreidae.
ACUUUUAUCAAUGCAUCAUGAAACAUUUCCAUGAAUAAUCUAAAUUAAACCAUACUUCAUGUAUAACAUUAGUCUUUUAAGACAUUGAAGCUAUACAGAAAUAUUUACUCAUUGUACUGAGUUUGUUUUGACAGGUCUCCCAGGAUGUGCUGUUUGACUAUGUAAAGCUAAAGAGGCUGAAGAAAUCAACGUUUUAACAGGUCUCCCAGGAUGUGCUGUUGAAGUAUGUAAAGCUAAAGAAAAGGAAGAAGUCACCAUUUUUGACAGGUCUCCCAGGAUGUGCUGUUUAACUAUGUAAAGCUAAAGAAGAGGAAGAAAUCACCAUUUUGACAGGUCUCCCAGGAUGUGCUGUUGAAGUAUAUAAAGCUAAAGAAGAGGAACAAAUUACCAUUUUGACAGGUUUAACUAAUGCCUAAAUUUAGUUUUUUAGCUCACCUGAACCGAAGGCUCAAGUGAGCUUUUCUGAUCACAUUUUGUCCGGCGUCGGUCUGUCUGUUAACUUUUCACAUUUUUGACUUCUUCUGAAGAACCACUGGGCCAAUUUCAACCAAACUUGCUACAAAGCAUCCUUGGAUGAAGGGGAUUCAAAUUUGUUCAAAUGAAAGGCCAAGCCCUCUUCCAAGGGGAGAUAAUUAUGAAUAAGCGAAAAAUUAAUUGCAUCUUUUAAAAAUCUUUUUCGCCAAAACCCUUGGGCCAGGAAAGAUGAAACUCAUGUUGAAGCAUCCUCAUGUAGAGUAGAUUCAAGUUUGUU